This 465-nucleotide ribosomal RNA is filed under the name uncultured bacterium. RNAcentral's name for it is "partial 16S ribosomal RNA". It matches the Rfam family "Bacterial small subunit ribosomal RNA", at positions 28 to 507 of the family's 1533-position model. The record is from RNAcentral.
GACGAACGCUGGCGGCGUGCUUAACACAUGCAAGUCGAACGGAAAGGCCCUGCUUGCAGGGUACUCGAGUGGCGAACGGGUGAGUAACACGUGGGUGAUCUGCCCUGCACUUCGGGAUAAGCCUGGGAAACUGGGUCUAAUACCGGAUAGGAGCCAUUUUUAGUGUGAUGGUUGGAAAGUUUUUUCGGUGUAGGAUGAGCUCGCGGCCUAUCAGCUUGUUGGUGGGGUAAUGGCCUACCAAGGCGGCGACGGGUAGCCGGCCUGAGAGGGUGGACGGCCACAUUGGGACUGAGAUACGGCCCAGACUCCGACGGGAGGCAGCAGUGGGGAAGAUUGCACAAGGGGCGCAAGCCGGAUGCAGCGACGCCGCGUGGGGGAUGACGGCCUUCGGGUUGGAAACUCCUUUCGCUAGGGACGAAGCUUUUUGUGACGGUACCUAGAUAAGAAGCACCGGCUAACUACGUG